AGGGAAGAGCCACAGCUCUGGAGAGCACUCUUUUCUUCUGGUCCAUUAUUUUCCCUGAAGAGACCCCUGACGCCUAAAGGUAAGGCAGGAGCACUUUCUGCUUAUUCCCAUCCCAGCUUCUUCCCAUGGCUAGGAGCCUUCUGCACCUUCAUUUCCAGUCCCUUCACAGGAACUUGUCUCUCAUGAAUAGGCACCAAGCCUCCCACAAAAGGAAUUCACAGUUUCCAGUCCCAGUUCCCACACUGAGCAAAGUGUUUCACAUCAGAGGCACUGUGGGGGGCUCCACAAUGUAGCUGUAACUUCACAUCCAAACUCCUCAUCAUCAGCCUCCUGGAUGUGCACAGGUCCCCCAUAUCCCACACGUUGCACUGAGCAACCCCUGGGGGGAGGGGACAAGUGCAUGGAACAAUGUAAAGAGCACACACUAGGGCUGUGCAGUGCACAAUCUGCGCAGCUGUACAAAGCGGCCCUGGCAGAAACUAUGUCUUGUAUGAUUCAUUACCCUCCCGGCCUCAUGCUGAGCAACUAAAAUGCCCUUUAUAAAUAUUAUUGAUUCACUGGCAUUUCUAAGUGAAGUGUUUUCCUUCAAUGAGAAAAACAGUAAAAGUCAACAAGGAAAGAAAAAGACUCUGGUGAAUAUUAGAUAAAUGCUGCAGCUCCUUGGAUCAGAUCACGUCCACUCUGGAUGUUCGUAAUUGCACAGUAGGGAUAAAACGACCUGACUUAUGCAGUCGUCUCUGGGAAUGGAAGGGAUUAGGUGCUACUUGAGAUUUUGAUGUUCCUCCUUUCUGUCCAUGUACGAGCAUCACCUUAUAAUACUUAUAAUAACCUUGCCCCUUUCAUUUUUUCCACUUAAUGACAUUGUUCUCCCCAGAUUGCCACUUUUCGUUGGAAACCAAUAAGUACCUACAGAUUUAUUGAGUUAGUAACAAUGAUUGUCUUCUUCCUUAGACCUUCCAUAGAUGAGCCAGUGCAAGAUCAUACUGCCAAAGGUCGAGAUCAGGAGGGUGUCAGAGGAAAGAACCUUCCUCGGUGCCUACGGGGCACGCACCACUUCCUAGGACUGAUCUAUAUAGGUCACGAGGCCUGUUUGUUAGAGGAGAGGAGUAGAACUGUCAACCAGCUGCACUCCAGCCUGGGUGACAGGGCAAGACUCUACCUCAAAAUAAAUAAAUAAAUAACAUCACUAAACAUCCAGAGGGGUAAAAAUGGGGUAAAAUGGGGUAAAAAAUGUCAACCAACCGUCUUUCCCUGUACACCAAAUACCUAGACGUCAAAAUUACAACCAGAGCUUGCUUGAUGACUGGGGAUGCCAAGUUGGAGUGCUUGCAGGUGGAUACAUAACAGGAUAUACCAACCCAAGAAUAGGGAGAGUGGCAUCCAUGGCGCAGCAGACAUGCUGCAGGAUGGAAUUUGAAAGGCUCAGCCUGCUCCUGGCACUUCCAGGUUUUUUUUCUUCUGUUCCCCAGCCUGUCUCUCACUUUCGAUUCAUAUACUCCUUCACUACACUAUAAAGUACAAGUGAAUAGAUUCCAAAGAUUCUGUUUUGUCCCCUUGGGAUUACUCCCUGUCGUGCCUGAGUACAAGUUCUUGUGGUUCCAAGCCCUCUAGAGCCUCAUCCACAGAUGAUUGCUUGGUUUGCUCCUAACCUCCAGGUGUGGAUUUUCCCAAUUUGAUUCCCAAAGGGAAACUUUUCAUCUGGGUUCCAGGGAAACAUUAGACUGGCUGCCCCGGUUCAGUGUCUCUUUCCUGCUUUUUUUUUGUUUUGGUUUGGUUUGGUUUUUGAGACUGAGUCUCGCUCUGUCGCCCAGGCUGGAGCACAGUGGCAUGAUCUCGGCUCACGGCAACCUCCGCCUUCCAGGUUCAAGUGAUUCUCCUGCCUCAGUCUCCCAAGUAGCUGGGAUUACAGGUGCCUGCCACCAGGCCUGGCUAAUUUUUGUAUUUUUAGUAAAGACAGGGUUUCACCAUGUCGGCCAGGCUAGUCUUGAACUACUGACCUCAAGUAAUCCACUCACUUUGGCCUCCCAAAGUGCUGAGAUUACAGGCAUGAGCCACUGCCUCUGGCCUUUUUCCUGCUUUUAAAGAGCUGGUGUGAAAAAGAGUGUGAGACAAUGCCUGCAACAUUCCCACACUCGUGCUUGGCACAAUUAGAUGGUCUAUAAUGUUGGUUUCCUUUUCCAGGAGUAAUAAAGCAUGUUUAGUACCUCUGUGCUAUGAUCUAAACAUCUGUGUCCCCCCUCAGAAUUCAUACUGUUGAAACUUAAUCCCCAAGGUGGUGCUAUUAAGAGGUGAGGCCUUUGGGAGGUAAUUAGGUCCUAAGAGCUCCACCCUUGUGAAUGGGAUUAGUGCCCUUAUUAAAGAGGCCUGGGGGAGCCUGCUCAUCCCUUCCGCCAUGUGAGGACACAGAAGGUGCCAUCUGGGAGAAGCGAGCCCUUGCCAGACUCCGAAUCUACUGGUGCCUUGAUCUUGGACUUCCCAGCUGCCAGAAGUAUGAGCAAUCAAGUUCUGUUGUUUGUAAAUUACCCAGUCUAAGGUAUUUGUUAUAGCAGCCCGAAUGGACUAAGACACUCUCCAUAUCCCAUAGCAUUAUCAUAGAGAAAAGGGGACAGGUGCAGAUGUCCCCGGGAGAGCUUUUGUUGAGUAACUGGAGGCAUGCAAACCCCAACCCAAUCUCAAAUCCUAACUAAGAAUCAAAGUGUGACAACUGUGUGUUAGGGAGACCUGGAGUGGCAGGUGUGCCUUGGAUGUGGAUUCUCAGAGACAGCAGUGUUGACGCCUUGCUGGACUAAUCCGUGACCACCCACUAUGGCAGGGACAGUGAUUUACUCUCCCAGCUAAUGUGAAAGCUCUGGUCAGAUUGCAUUCCAACAAAACCUCUAACUCAGAACUGCAGAGAUGCUCGAGAAUCCAACAGAAAGUCCACUUUGAUAUAAAGCAUGUUCCAAGGCAGUUGGCUAUCUUUGCCUCCUGCCCUGGAGAGCAAUAACCAGGCCUUAUGUUCACUACCCUGAGAUGGAGGAGAGCAUGUAAAAGAAAAUAAAAUUGUUGUCUUUUACUUUUCUUCGUUUUCUUUUUUUGUGAGACAGAGUUUCACUCUGUUGCCCAGGCUGGAGUGCAAUGGUGCAAUCUCGGCUCACUGCAACCUCCACCUCCCAGGUUCAAGCGACUCUCCCGCCUCAGCCUCCUGAGUAGCUGGGAUUACAGGUGUGCACCACCAUCCCUGGCUAAUUUUUUGUAUUUUUAGUAGAGACAGGGUUUCACCAUGUUGGCCAGGCUGGUUUUGAACUCCUGACCUCAGGUGAUCCACCUGCCUCGACUUCCCAAAGUGCUGGGAUUAUAAGCGUGAGCCACCCUGCCUGGCCAGCUUUUACUUUUCAGUGAGAAACGAAAUGUACAAGGCAUUCCGAGGGAACAUUUUACCCAUAUGCAUCCAGGACCCAAUGAAGAGGCCGCCAGCCCCUCCUGUAGCCUCAGAACUGUGAGUCCAUCUCUGUAAACAGGUGAGGCAGCUGGAGAAGCACUGGUGCCACCCAUUCCACCUGCAGCCCCCAAGCUUGAAAGUGGUUGGCAUGGAAAAGGAAUAACCCUUACCUUUAGGAACAAAGAGAGGUGGAGUCCAAGGACCUUUCCAAUACUAUCUGAGCUGUAAACACAAAGCUGUAAACAAAGCUAUUUAUGGAGCACCUCUCACGUGUUGACACUAGGCUGGCCACUGGGUAUGUGUAAACUCAUUUGAUCUUCAGAUAACACAGAGGGGUCAGUGGUAUUAUUAUCCCCAUUUUCCAGAGGGAAGACUGAGGCUAGCAGGGGUAAGCUGUUGAUUCACCCAAGAUCACUCAGCUAGGAAGUGGCUCGAGCAGGAUUUGGACACGGAUCCAUCUUACACUUCCCAUUCGGGCUCCGCUGUCGGUGCCUGCAGGAAAGGGUCUGUGGCAGCACGGAUUAUAUAAGGCUUCCAAAACUUCAUAACCUCCUGUGCUUGUUAUUUUUGUCUCUCAGCUGUCUGUGUCCCCACUGUGACAAGUUGAGAAUAAAAAAUCUUCAAACAAGAGGAGUCCAUCUGCUUGUCUUUAGAGGCAGCAAGAAAAUAAAUCUCUUGAUGGAGAUGGGGUCUCACUAUAUUCCCCAGGAUGGUCUCCAACUCCUGGACUCAAGCAAUCUUCCCACCUCAGACUACAGGCAUGAGCCACCAUGCCCAGCCAUAUUGUUCAUUUUUAACCCUGUCUCAGUGUGGCCUGCUCCCAGAACUGUUUCUCCUGACUUCUCAUUUCACCAAGAAGACAUGGACUCAGAAAAAUGAAGAGAGAAACACAAAGACACAGGAGCAGCAACCAAGCCCCUCUUCUCCAGGCAAUCAUCUGACUUCAAUUGGCAUAGACCCCUUAGGGGUGUGGACACUGUCUGAAAGUAUCUGGAGAGACCAAGUUUCAGCAGCCACUAAGCUGUCAAGGCUCUUUAAAAAUCUGAUUCCUGGCCAGGCACGGGGGCGCACGCCUGUCACCCCAGUACUUUGGGAGGCUGUGGUGGGCAGAUCACUUGAGGCCAGGAGUUCUAGAUCAGCCUGGCCAACAUGACGAAACCCCAUCUCUACUAAAAAUAUGAAAAUUAGCUGGGUGUGGUAGUGCACACCUGUAAUCCCAGCUACUCGGGAGGCUGAAGCAGGAGAAUCGCUUGAACCCAGAAGGCGGAGGUUGCAGUGAGCCGAUAUCGCACCAUUGCACUCCAGCCUGGGCAACAGAGUGAGAUUCUGUGUCAAAAAAAAAAAAAAAAAAAAAUCUGAUUCCACUGUUCUGAGUGUGAGGCUGUCCAAGCCUCCACUGUUUUUCCUCUGUGCUCUGAGCCCAGACUGAAAUCUGUAGAGAGUGGCAACGUGUGGGAUGGAAAGAAAAUGAGCUUUGAGGUCUAACAGGAAUGGGGCUGAAUCCCACUCCUGUGACUUAGGAGCUAUGACUUUCCCUGCAGGGCUCUGCCAUGAUUAAAGGAAAUAAUCUAUAUACAUGUGCCAGUGCACACAGUAGCUGCUCAAUAUAGGAAAGUAGUUUGUUUCGAUUCAUGUGAUUGUGAAUCUCGAACAUACCUGUGCUUGUAUCUUGUCACAGUCGCUUCGUCCCUGGGUGACAUCCAAUCCAUCCUUUCAGUCCUAGGUUAACUGAUACCUCCUCUGGGAAGCAGCACCUGAUUUCCAAGCCAAAUAAGACAUCACAUGGAAAUAUAACCAUGUCAUUGCCCCAUGCAAAAUUAUCUGGUGAUUCUCCAUUGCCUAGAGAACAAAAUUGAUGUCUCCUAAGCAAGAACAACAAGGCUCUUUCUGAUUUAACAAUUGCCCCCAGUUCUUCCCCAAACCCCGCCCUCAUUUAAUAUUCCAGCCAUAUGCAUCUAUGGUGGCUUCCUGAAUACAGCCAGCUCCUGCAUACUUCCCUAAUGCUAAGGUCCAUGCCAUCAAACUUAGGAGGUUGGAUCAACUUGCACUUGAAUUUCUGGAACACAAGCAUGCAAAAUGCAGAAACUGGCUGUACCCUGGUGACAGGGGAAAAGGCGUCCCUCCCAUGGGUGGAUCAGAAAUCAAGGGCUCUGCCGCUGCUCUUUGAGGGUAGUGGGUAAGAGUGUGGUCCUUGAACAGAAUCAAACCUGGCCUAACUCUUACUUGUCACUUACCAGCAAUGUAAUCUUGGCUGUGUCUCUGAACUCCCAUUUCUCUAUCUGGGGGAGGGAAAUGGUAAGAACACCCCUAAACUGUUAGAGGAAGGAAUGUCUGGCAUAUAGCAGGUGCUCAAUAAAUGUCCAUUCUUAUUAGAAUUUCUGGAAGAAACAGGCAAUGGUUCCCUGAAAUACCACUGGACUGUCACAAGCAUUUCAGUUGGGUUUCAUGCACUGUCUGAAGAGAUUGAUCCAAGCACCUUGGAUACAUCCGUAGCUCAACAUUAAAAGGCCAAGGUUAUAUCUUCCACUCCCAUCCUUCCCCUCCAGAGCCCCCCUCGGUGGAAAUGACAGAGUCAGGUAAGACACCUUCCUGGGGGAAAGCAUAUCUGCACUCAGGGAACAUGUUCAAGAAUUCAGCCUCUGCCUCUUCAGGCCUUAUAUGAUGUAUGGAUUACAGUAUAAAAAGAUCAAAUAUCUGGAGGCACAGGACUUGGAUUCUAAUCUUGGAUCCUAAUUCUGGCCCUGUUGGUUACCAGCUGUGUGAUCUUGGCUAAGUCACCUACCCUCUGUAAGCCUCAAAUUCCUCAUCUGUAAUAUGGAGGACCUACCUCACAAAUCAGAUGAUGAGAGGGAGAAUGUUUGGGGGUAUAGCCAUACUAUACAGUAUGGCUCAGGCCUAAGGUUCUUGAAUUUGCUUGUUUUUCCUCUUGGCCUAUUUUACUACAGGUUAAAAAUCUGUUAUCUGGCCAGGUGCAGUGGCUCACACCUGUAAUCCUAGCACCUUGGGAAGUCAAGGUGGGUGGAUCACUUGAGAUCUCAAGUUUGAGAUCAGCCUAGGCAACAUGGUGAAAACCUGUUCUACAAAAAAUACAAAAAUUAGCCGGGUGUGGUGGGGCACACCUGUAGUCCCAGCUGCUUGGGAGGCUGAGGUGGGAGGAUCGCUUGAGCCCAGGAGGCGGAGGUUGCUGUGAGCCAAGAUGGCACCACUGUACUCCAGCCUGGGUGAUAGAGCCAGACCUUGUCUCAAAAACCAAAACAACGACAACAAAAUCUCUCUUAUCUACAAUUCCAAAAUGCAAAAGCAUCUGAGAAACAAUAUUUUUUUGUAAUUCAUUUGGCUGCAAAACUUGUACUGAAUUGAUGAGUCCAUUUAUAGACUUUAUCCCACUUAUGAUGAAUAUUCAUCAGUUUUACUGCAGAAAUAAUAACGUGUUUGACUUGAGAAUGUUGUCUCAGUUACCUCUGGGGGUGUCAAAUACUGCAUGAGAUAUUCUGAAUUAUGAAACUCAUCUGGCCCCAUGAGUUUUGCUUAACAAGUUAUGGACUUAUAUUCUAGGAGUAUAUCCUAAUCUAUACUCAUUGAUGUAUCACCUGCAUGAUUUUGUCAUAUCCUUCUAACACCUGUAUUAAUACUUGCUUCAUACACUUUAGUUGAGUCCAUUUUUAUUUACUUUUCCAAAUGAACCUUGUUUAAAUGCACAGUGAAAAAUACCUAAUUAUUAAUAAAAAUGUUUGUCUACAUGACAUUUCAAAGCAUCCUGCUUAUCACAGUGAAAUGCACCCCACACUUUAAGCAACAGUCAUCUCAAACUAGCACAACGGGUUAGCUCUUAAAUAGUUGGAAUGCAAGCAAUAAGGGUGACAUCUGUGAGGUGGACUCUUCUUUGAGGUUUUCAGUUAUAAAUAUUCAGCAGUACAAUUCCACCAAAUGCUGGUUGCAUUCCUGCUGUGAACACGACACUGCUUAACCACAUAAGCUAUGAUGUUUUGUUGGAAAACCACAAACAGCCAGUAAAGAUGGCUGAUGGAGCGCCACUCAGAACAGCUUACCUAUGAUAAGUUCUUUCACAGACAUUCAUGUCCAUUUCCCUCGUUCACCAACAGGAGAGGUAGUAUUAGAAGAAUUUAAAACAAAAAACCAGGCCCACACGGAUUGAGAGCUUGACCCAAGAUCUCACAAGUUCCAGGCAGAGCUGAGAGUCCUGGAAUUCAGGUCCCUGCUGCUGACCUGGACAUGCCUCUGCUACAUAAAGCCACAGUCUUUCCUGCUCAGGGCACUGCUGACGCCACUUUCUGCCCUGGUUUAUACGUUAAUAUUCACAAAAGCUGCUGGGAGCCUGGACUUUCAUAAAACCAGCCUGCUCUCGGACUAAAAUACCCCCCUGUGGCCUAGUUACGAUCCUUUCCUGUUCUCCAUUAAAAAGCUCCGCAGUGGCUGAAGGGGUCUCACAAGGCUUUUAGAGGUUUAGCAAAUCUUCAAAAUGGACCAAGAAGAAUUGGUAACUGUCUUAGCAUUUUCCACAAAGUUAGAGAAACAGCAGUUAGUGGAAACAGGGCAAGGCCCAGAUAAUCUGUUCCAAGGCCACAUAUGACAUCAUAAUUUAGCCUUUUGGUAAUCAAAAAUUUCCCAAUGAUCCGAACAAGUAAAGGAAAAUCCCAACCCACCUGUAUUAGUCCAUUCUCACAAUGCAAUAAAGAACUGCUCGAGACUGGGUAAUUUAUAAAGGAAAGAUGUUUAAUUGAUUCACAGUUCCGCAUGUCUGGGCAAGCCUCAGGAAACUUACAGUCAUGGCAGAAGGGGAAGUAAAUAUGUCCUUCUUCACAUGAUGGCAGGAAAAUAACGCAGAG
RNAcentral lists this long non-coding RNA (8268 nucleotides) under Homo sapiens (human). RNAcentral's name for it is "non-protein coding lnc-FER1L6-1:7". The stretch from base 6520 to 6667 matches the Rfam family "Metazoan signal recognition particle RNA". The record is from RNAcentral. Lineage: Eukaryota; Metazoa; Chordata; Mammalia; Primates; Hominidae.